AGUGAACGCUGGCGGUAGGCCUAACACAUGCAAGUCGAACGGCAGCACAGUAAGAGCUUGCUCUUACGGGUGGCGAGUGGCGGACGGGUGAGGAAUACAUCGGAAUCUACUUUUUCGUGGGGGAUAACGGAGGGAAACUUACGCUAAUACCGCAUACGACCUACGGGUGAAAGCAGGGGAUCUUCGGACCUUGCGCGAUUGAAUGAGCCGAUGUCGGAUUAGCUAGUUGGCGGGGUAAAGGCCCACCAAGGCGACGAUCCGUAGCUGGUCUGAGAGGAUGAUCAGCCACACUGGAACUGAGACACGGUCCAGACUCCUACGGGAGGCAGCAGUGGGGAAUAUUGGACAAUGGGCGCAAGCCUGAUCCAGCCAUACCGCGUGGGUGAAGAAGGCCUUCGGGUUGUAAAGCCCUUUUGUUGGGAAAGAAAAGCAGCAGGUUAAUACCUCGCUGUCCUGACGGUACCCAAAGAAUAAGCACCGGCUAACUUCGUG
RNAcentral lists this ribosomal RNA (492 nucleotides) under uncultured bacterium. Its description in RNAcentral is "partial 16S ribosomal RNA". It matches the Rfam family "Bacterial small subunit ribosomal RNA", at positions 29 to 507 of the family's 1533-position model. The record is from RNAcentral.